This 301-nucleotide ribosomal RNA is filed under the name uncultured bacterium. RNAcentral's name for it is "partial 16S ribosomal RNA". It matches the Rfam family "Bacterial small subunit ribosomal RNA", at positions 509 to 807 of the family's 1533-position model. The record is from RNAcentral.
CAGUAGCCGCGGGAAAACGAAGGGGGCUAGCGUUGUUCGGAAUUACUGGGCGUAAAGCGCACGUAGGCGGCUUGGUAAGUUAGAGGUGAAAGCCUGGAGCCCAACUCCAGAAUUGCCUUUAAGACUGCCGAGCUAGCAGGUGAGAGAGGUAAGUGGAAUUCCGAGUGUAGAGGUGAAAUUCGUAGAUAUUCGGAAGAACACCAGUGGCGAAGGCGGCUUACUGGCUCAUACUGGACGCUGAGGUGCGAAAGCGUGGGGAGCAAACAGGAUUAGAUACCCGUGUAGUCCCUGUCUCUUAUAC